UACGUAGGGGGCAAGCGUUGUCCGGAUUUAUUGGGCGUAAAGAGCGUGUAGGCGGUUUGGUAGGUCCGUUGUGAAAACUCGAGGCUCAACCUCGAGACGCCGAUGGAAACCAUCAGACUAGAGUCCGGAAGAGGAGAGUGGAAUUCCUGGUGUAGCGGUGAAAUGCGCAGAUAUCAGGAAGAACACCCGUGGCUAAGGCGGCUCUCUAGUACGGUACUGACGCUGAGGCGCGAAAGCGUGGGGAGCGAACAGG
This 253-nucleotide ribosomal RNA is filed under the name uncultured bacterium. RNAcentral's name for it is "partial 16S ribosomal RNA". It matches the Rfam family "Bacterial small subunit ribosomal RNA", at positions 524 to 776 of the family's 1533-position model. The record is from RNAcentral.